GAGGGUACAGCUCAGUGGUAGAGCGCAUGCUCAGCAUGCACGAGGUCUUGGGUUCAAUCCUCAGUACCUCCA
Camelus ferus (Wild Bactrian camel) is the source of this 72-nucleotide transfer RNA. It matches the Rfam family "tRNA". Rfam says of the family: Transfer RNA (tRNA) molecules are approximately 80 nucleotides in length. Their secondary structure includes four short double-helical elements and three loops (D, anti-codon, and T loops). Further hydrogen bonds mediate the characteristic L-shaped molecular structure. tRNAs have two regions of fundamental functional importance: the anti-codon, which is responsible for specific mRNA codon recognition, and the 3' end, to which the tRNAs corresponding amino acid is attached (by aminoacyl-tRNA synthetases). tRNAs cope with the degeneracy of the genetic code in two manners: having more than one tRNA (with a specific anti-codon) for a particular amino acid; and 'wobble' base-pairing, i.e. permitting non-standard base-pairing at the 3rd anti-codon position. The record is from Rfam. NCBI's taxonomy places the organism in Eukaryota, Metazoa, Chordata, Mammalia, Artiodactyla, Camelidae.